RNAcentral lists this long non-coding RNA (2151 nucleotides) under Homo sapiens (human). Its description in RNAcentral is "HSALNT0359083". Lineage: Eukaryota; Metazoa; Chordata; Mammalia; Primates; Hominidae. The record is from RNAcentral.
UCCUCUUGAAAGUUAAAAUAGGAUAGAGACGGAUUGGUGGGGGCUACUUUAGACUGCGGAGUCACAGAGGACCUCUUUGAGGAAGUGGUAAUUUAAGAUGAGAUCAGAAUAACAUAUCCAGCCUUGAGAAGACAAGGGGGUGGAGGGAGUGUUCCAGGGAAAGGAGACACCUUAUACAAAGGCUGGAACAAAUUGAAUGGGUUCAGAAAACAAAAGGAAGGCCCAGAGUGACUGGAGCGUGGCAUUUAGGGAUGAAGGUCAAGUCAGAAAAGUAUGUAAGAGUCUGGUCAAGUAACAGUCUCGUAGGCCAAGGUGCAGCUCAGUUGCCGUGAUGCUCCUUGAGUCAAUGAGCUCUUUGGUCUGCUCUUCUGCUCAAGCAGAAAAUGAUCUGCGCUUCACCCUUGAGAAGCUGACAAGAACCACAGGCUUCUUCGGGCAGGUGGUGGAACAUGGGUGUAUCCUGCAGGUUCUCACAGUAUCUCCCUUUGCUCAGGCUCUAGCCUGAUUUUCUGGCUCAUAAGGCCAAAGGGAGCCGGAAAGGUCCCCACGGCAGGACUCAUGGUGGAGAGAGAAUGGUCUGGAGGAUUCAGGCCUCUGCACACUGUGUCUGGGUCCCUCCUUAAAGAAUGAUAAAGACAAGCAAAGAGCUUGAAGCAGCCUGGAGUCCAGCCAGAAACCUUUAACUGAGCUUUAAAGGAGAUGGUCACAACACUUUUCAGAAUACUGGCAAAGGCCUCCUGUGGCCAGGUUUGUCCUGGGAUGAGCAAAAUUUAAUGUUAACCUGCUGUAUCUUUGCUUUUAAUAUAUCUGCUUGCCCACCACAAUGACGUUAUGGUUAAUUUCACCAAUUUGGUAACCUGCCUCAUGGGAAGUACGAAAGUAAGCAAGGGCCAGGUGUGGUGACUCACGCCUGUAAUCCCAGUACUUUGGGUGGCUGAGGCAGGUGGAUUGCUUGAGCCCAGGAGUUCAAGACCAACCUGGGCACCAUGACAAAACCCCGUCUCUAAAAAAUAUACAAAAAUUAACCAGGGGUGGCAGUGCAUGGCUGUAAUCCCAGCUACUUGGAGGCUGAGGUGGGAGAAUCUCUUGAGCCUGGGAGGCAGAGGUUGCAGUGAGCUGAGAUCACACCACUGCAUUCCAGCCUGGGCAACGAAGUGAGACCCUGUCUCAAAAAAAAAAAAAAAAAAAAAAAGAGAAAGACAGUGAGGGUGUCCUGUGAAUCAAAUCUUUGAAUGGAUGUUUUCUUAACUAACCAAGACCUCUGUAAGAAUUCUGUCUUUGAUUCCACAAUAAAGUGGUGUGAAAUUACUAUAAGCAAAUGUUUACAUGUCUCAUUUAAUCUUCACAACAAUCCUAUGAGGCAAGUAGAAUUGUUAUCCUCAUUUUCUGAGUGAUGAAACUGAGGCUCAGGGGAGGGUGUGACCUUGCCAAGUCCCCACAACUGGAAACCACAGAACAAAAUGACCUGAGUCACACAUGCUAGGAAAAACUCAUUGUGCCUCCCCAUGGAGCUUCACAAUGGCUAUUUCUGUUGCAAUAGAGGAUGAAGCAGGUGGUCUUUCCAAUCAAGAGCUGUUAAGAAAGCCUCCAGUUCUCCCCGGGGAAUCUCAGAAUCAGACUGAAGAUUCGGAAGAGCCUUUGCUGACCACUGAGUCAAACUCCCCAGAAUCCUUUUAUAGUACCGCUGACCAGUGAGUGAUCAUCAAACCUCCAAAGACUUCGGUAAUUUGCAGAUUCUAGGGAAAAUUCCAUGAGUUAACAGAGGUGAAAUUUGAAAGUUCCGUAGAGAAAUUCUGGAACUUGAAAUUAUCAUAGGAAGAUUAUUAUGCAAUUUUGUUCCUGUUAGUAGUCUUUAAUAAAGAGACUUCAGGUGAACAUUGGGUUGAACCAAGAUUACUUUCUUCCAUUGUCACCAUUCUGAUUUCAGAUUGUUCCUUGCUGGUUUAUAUACUCUUCAAUUCCAUUUUGUACCAGAUAGAGGCAGAGUAGAAGGAAAAACUGAACAACAAACUGCAUUUGUGCCAGCUCGAGGGAUAAACACCCUCUAAGGAGCAUCUCAAGCUUUCCACAAGAUUUCAACAGGGCCACCCCAGUUCACAGGCAGGUAGUGUGUCUUCAAUGUGUGGCCAAUCGCUCUUGGACAAACAGGAG